GGUAGUGGAAGAGGUCGGAACUGCCCACCGCCUUGGUUAUGACGGGUUUCUGUCAUACUAUAGCGGCGCGAAGUUGCGUACUUAUUCGAAUGCC
Molecule: regulatory RNA element, 94 nt
Rfam family: Tombusvirus internal replication element (IRE)
Source: Rfam